Carassius auratus (goldfish) is the source of this 4635-nucleotide RNA transcript. It is a transcript of the gene named dynamin 1a, with no coding region annotated. The transcript has 25 exons. The record is from RefSeq and is a predicted model, not a curated record. Lineage: Eukaryota; Metazoa; Chordata; Actinopteri; Cypriniformes; Cyprinidae.
AGAGAGAGAGCGAGAGAGAGAGAGAGAGAGAGAGAUCCGGAAAAAUCAAUGCAGAAAUAAAGCAGCCGAGUCGCUGAAAUCGCAUUUUCUCCGGUGAAGCUCGAGCAGACCCGGUGUGUCGCGAUGGGGAACCAGGGGAUGGAGGACCUGAUCCCGCUGGUCAACCGAAUGCAGGAUGCGUUCUCCGCCAUCGGACAGAACGCGAACCUGGACCUGCCGCAGAUCGCGGUGGUGGGCGGACAGAGCGCCGGGAAAAGCUCCGUGCUCGAGAACUUCGUGGGGAAGGAUUUUCUCCCGCGCGGCUCUGGCAUCGUCACACGCCGUCCUCUCGUCCUGCAGCUCAUCAACUGCCCCACAGAAUAUGCCGAGUUCCUCCACUGUAAGGGGAAGAAGUUCACGGACUUCGAUGAGGUGCGUCAGGAGAUCGAGGCGGAGACGGAUCGAGUCACAGGACAGAAUAAAGGCAUUUCACCGGUGCCCAUCAACCUGCGCGUCUACUCCCCAAACGUGCUGAACCUGACUCUGGUGGAUCUGCCGGGGAUGACUAAAGUGCCGGUGGGAGAUCAGCCCGCAGACAUCGAGCAUCAGAUCAGAGACAUGCUGAUGCAGUUUGUGACCAAAGACAACUGUCUGCUGCUGGCCGUGUCGCCCGCCAACUCUGACCUGGCCAACUCUGACGCCCUGAAGAUCGCCAAAGAAGUCGACCCGCAGGGUCUGCGGACCAUCGGUGUGAUCACUAAACUGGAUCUGAUGGAUGAAGGGACCGACGCUCGGGAUAUCCUGGAAAACAAGCUGCUUCCGCUGCGGAGAGGUUACAUCGGUGUGGUGAACCGCAGUCAGAAAGACAUCGACGGGAGGAAGGAUAUUAAUGCUGCUAUGGCGGCGGAGAGGAAGUUUUUCCUGUCUCAUCCCGGUUACAGACACCUGGCCGACCGCAUGGGAACGCCGUUCCUGCAGAAAACACUCAACCAGCAACUGACCAAUCACAUCCGAGACACGCUCCCCGCGCUGCGCACCAAACUGCAGAGUCAGCUGCUGUCCAUCGAGAAGGAAGUGGAGGAAUACAAGAACUUCCGUCCUGACGAUCCGUCCCGGAAGACCAAAGCCCUGCUGCAGAUGGUGCAGCAGUUCUCGGUGGACUUCGAGAAGCGCAUCGAGGGCUCUGGAGAUCAGAUAGACACGGAUGAGCUGUCUGGAGGAGCCAAAAUCAAUCGCAUCUUCCACGAGCGCUUCCCCUUCGAGCUGGUGAAGAUGGAGUUUGAUGAGAAGGAGCUGCGCAAGGAGAUCAGCUACGCCAUCAAGAACAUCCACGGCAUCAGAACUGGGCUCUUCACGCCGGACAUGGCCUUUGAGACCAUUGUGAAAAGGCAGAUUGGGAAGAUUAAAGAGCCGUGCCAGAAAUGUGUGGACAUGGUCAUUUCUGAGCUAGUCAAUACUGUUAGACAGUGUACCAAGAAGCUGGCCCAGUAUCCCAUGCUGAGAGAAGAGAUGGAGCGGAUCGUCACGCAGCACAUCCGCGACCGCGAGAGCCGCACUAAACAACAGGUGCUGCUGCUGAUCGACAUCGAGCUGGCGUACAUGAACACCAACCACGAGGACUUCAUCGGGUUUGCCAAUGCGCAGCAGAGAAGCAGUCAGAUUAACAAGAAGAAAGCAGCUGGUAAUCAGGGCCAGGAUGAAAUCAUGGUGAUCAGGAAGGGCUGGCUGACCAUCAAUAACAUCGGCAUCAUGAAGGGCGGCGCUAAAGAGUACUGGUUUGUCCUGACGGCCGAAUCUCUGUCCUGGUACAAGGAUGAUGAGGAGAAAGAGAAGAAGUACAUGCUGCAGGUGGACAACCUGAAGCUCAGAGACGUGGAGAAGGGCUUCAUGUCCAGCAAACACAUCUUUGCCCUGUUCAACACUGAGCAAAGGAACGUGUAUAAGGACUACCGUCAGCUGGAGCUGGCCUGUGAGACCCAGGAGGAUGUGGACGGGUGGAAAGCGUCGUUCAUGCGUGCCGGCGUCUAUCCUGAGCGCGUGGUGGAGAAGGAAAAGAGCGACGCUGGAGACGAGAACGGGUCGGACAACUUCAUGCACUCCAUGGACCCUCAGCUGGAGAGGCAGGUGGAGACCAUCCGAAACCUGGUGGACUCCUACAUGAGCAUCGUCAACAAGACCGUACGAGACCUGAUGCCCAAGACCAUCAUGCAUCUGAUGAUCAGUAAUACGAAGGAGUUCAUCAAUGCGGAGCUGCUGGCUCAGCUGUACUCGUGUGGAGAUCAGAACACACUGAUGGAGGAGUCGGCCGAACAAGCGCAGCGGCGAGACGAGAUGCUACGCAUGUACCACGCGCUCAGAGAAGCACUCAACAUCAUCGGGGACAUCAGCACCACCACCAUCACCACCUCUCUGCCUCCACCUGUGGACGACUCCUGGCUCCAGGUGCAGCGCACGGGCUCCGGAGGACGGUCUCCGGCGGCCAGCCCGACCCCUCAGAGACGGGCCCCUCCUCCGGGGCCUCCUGCACGCCCAGGUUCUCGUGGCUCGGCCCCGGGGCCCCCUGCAGCCGGAGGGCCACCAGUUCCCUCUCGCCCAGGAGCCUCUCCAGACCCCUUCGGCGGGCCCCCCCCUCAGGUCCCGUCCCGUCCUAACCGUGCUCCUCCCGGCGUGCCCAGAAUUACAAUCAGUGACCAAUGAGGACUAACACUUCUGUGGUCCCUGAGCUCACGGGCCAGAAGACGACACCAGACUCCCUGAAGGCCGGUCAAACACAGGUGACCCUUCUCGCCCCUUCUCUCCACGCGACCCUUAGCAUCAUUUCUUCUUCUGUUCCUCCCCGUCGAGUAAAACAACCCAAACCCACCAGCACAAGAGAAACCUUCCAGAUGUUUCCAGCAUCCUCGGAUUGAGAAACCAGUUUCAAGCUCAUUGUGGAGAUCAUUAUCAUGACCAUCAAACCUAAAAGAAACUCGUCAAAGGGAUAGUUCACCCUCGUGUCGAUUCCAACCAGUUUUCCUUUUUCCGUGGAACACAAAAGAUAAUAUUCUGAAGCAGUAAACCGUUUCGGGUCCCAUUGACUUCCAUAGUUUGGACAAACAGUACUGUGAAACUCAAGGGGACCCGAAACUAUUUGCUCUUCAAAAUAUCUCUUUGUAUAUAUCUGUUCCACAGCCAUUUAUUCCCCACACUGCAAACAAUCCUUAUUUUAGUCUCUUUUUCCAUUUAAAAGGAAGUUCAGCUACCGGAAACCCUGAAAAAUGCACUAAAGUAGGGAUCUUCUUGCAGUGCAAACCUUGUGACGAUGUAAAGUACGAGGACGUGUGUUCACUCUCAGUGAUUGUGCUCAGAAAUCAUUCAUUCAUCAGUGAAUCUGAGCCUUCGGUGGAGCUGGAUUGAAUUAGAGAGUGUCACUUUAAACACAGAAGUGCUGUUUCAGGGUGAACAGACGUCCUCGAGCUGGAUGAGAUGCUUGUGUGUUUACAACUGAGUUAAUAAACGAGUAGAGACUGAUGCUGAAGACUGUUGAAUGAUCAUGUCCAGAUGGUUUUCCACACAAAGGCUAUGUUUAGAAUUUAAUACUUGCUUACUGUAUAUACUUACUAUACAGUAUACACUGCUUACUGUUCUUAACAAAUAGCAUGUGGAAGUGCACUAUUCAAUGCUAAACAGUAGUAUGCAACAUUGUCGGCUCGUUGCAUGUUUAAAUUUAGUUCUUUUUGCAUUUUUAAGUCUGAUACAUGUACAAAUUUUUGCAAACGUAGUCUGUAAUUUGGGUGUUCAUACAGAUCUGUAAAUGGUGUGCAUACUAUAUAAUAAUAGCAGUAGUAUGAUAUUCUGAACAUAGCUGCAUAUGAUUGAAGGUGCUGUAAGCUAUUUGUAUUGAUUCCACCGCAUCAAUCAAGCCACAAAUGAUUUCGUAUCAGAUAAAAAAAAGUGGAUAUUAUAAAUAGUUUAGAGCACCUUUAAACGCCACCAAUGGACAUUUUUCAUGUGUGCUGAAAAACUGUCCCUGUGCAUUGAGAUUAUGCAACUAUAUCUCAAGUCUAAGAUUUUAUUGUCUGUAAUUUAAGAUCUCAAGAUGGUCUAUGCAUAGAAAUCAUUCCAGUUUGUUCAGGUGUUUUGUCGAAUACGAACACACCCCUCCACAACCGUGGACUGUGAAUCUGUCGUGUGUUGUAAUAAUUCUAAAGAUUAUAAAGUCUGUGUUGCUGAUCGUUGAUGUUGUGGCAUGAGCAGACGGUUUCAUCUGUACUAAUAUCAAUAAUAUGUUUCUGUCUUCAACAUGCUCACCAAAUCUUCCCAGAAUCCACUGGGAGUCUUAGUAAGACCCACUAAACAGACAAUAUUUACCGUUAUUUAAGAGUUUGUCAUGGACAUACUGUAUCUUAAGUGAGUCCCGUGUCUUUGUGGUGCAUUUAUGCAAAUUGUGCUUCCACUGUUUUAGAGACUAGUCCACAUGUAUGAUUAUUGAAUAUUAAAUUAUUAUGGGUAAAUAAAGCAGGCCUCUUUCUGUGUUUGGACAGAAAGGUGUUAUGAUACUGAGUGUGUAACGUGUGAAUGAAUGUGUGUGUGUGUGUGUGUGUGUGUGUAACGUGUUCUGCUCGGGCGAGUUUGUCAAGCUGGACUCUGUCAUCAUUAAACUUCAGUGUACGGAAA